GUAAGAUGGUCUGGGAGAGAGAUACUCCCAAAUCUUCUUACAACAGCUCUGCCUGCAUUUCUUGCCUGACAGUAAGUACUCCCUCUGACAGAGAGUGGCACAUAAGUUGCAUUGCUUAGAAGCCGACAGCAAAUUAUUAUCUGCAGCACGUGAGGUAUAUUUUAGAGGAACUGUGUUUCAGAAAAGUAUUGUGGAGGGCCAGAACCCUAUCGGCAGCUCAGGAGCAUAGUCUGAACAGGAAUUCCCUGGAAGCAGACCUGAUCCCAGUUGAGAUCUCCUGCCAGUUGGCUCCCUUCUCCCUGCCUGCACAGCUGUUCAUAUUGCUGUGUGAGAGACUGGGCUGGGAAACUGAUGCCACAGAGGUAUAACAUGUUCUUUAUUAUUUUGCUGUGUUGUUUGCUGUCUUAAGUGGCUCUGCUGCCAGAUGUCCAUGGUGUGGUUCAAACAUCAACCUUUGCUCAGAGCUUAUUUUUCAAGGCUCAGCACAGCCUAUUGCAAUGAAUAGCUCUUGCAUUGCUUAAAAGGAAUGUCAGAUAUUUGUAAGCAUCAUUUAUACAAAUAACAUGCUUAGUGAAUAGGAGAUACGAGGAGAUACGAGGCCUGCCAGGUAUCUUGUGUUUGUCCCCCAUUAGCUUUCUGCUCGUGUCCUUUCAAAAUCAUUCCCACUGGCUACCCUUUUUCUGGCCCUCAGAGAAGAUACUAUGUCACAAUGAGUCCCUUCUCCUUUGAGUCCUGGGAGACAGUCACAGCACCUUUGCUUACCAUCAGUGACUUCUUGGAGAGACUGAAAUCAAUCCUCAAGGAGGACUUGCUCUUUUAAGGAAAAAAAAGGCAGUGCACUUUUCAACAUGACACAAAGAGAAAUUGCCAUCUCUAGCCUUGCUCAGCCUGAAUGUGCUUCAUGAGAACAUCUGUCUCAUGAAGGUGCUUGUUCAGGAAUGGUAGUGGAAGCCCAACUCCAAUCCAUGAUGGAUAUUCUGCGCAGAUCUGCAAAACCCCAUUCGGAAUGGCUGAUGGAUGGCAUUUUUUCAACCAAAGCGUUUUUCAGAUGUGGUACAGUCCACAGGAAGCCUUUUGAAAUAGAAGAGGACUGUGGCAGCCAGCACAGCAUUGUGGUGUUAUGA
This 1124-nucleotide long non-coding RNA is filed under the name Phasianus colchicus (ring-necked pheasant). Its description in RNAcentral is "lncRNA (ENSPCLG00000009396.1)". The record is from RNAcentral. Lineage: Eukaryota; Metazoa; Chordata; Aves; Galliformes; Phasianidae.